RNAcentral lists this ribosomal RNA (738 nucleotides) under Mycobacterium tuberculosis. RNAcentral's name for it is "bacterial SSU rRNA". It matches the Rfam family "Bacterial small subunit ribosomal RNA", at positions 108 to 844 of the family's 1533-position model. Lineage: Bacteria; Bacillati; Actinomycetota; Actinomycetes; Mycobacteriales; Mycobacteriaceae. The record is from RNAcentral.
GAGUAACACGUGGGUGAUCUGCCCUGCACUUCGGGAUAAGCCUGGGAAACUGGGUCUAAUACCGGAUAGGACCACGGGAUGCAUGUCUUGUGGUGGAAAGCGCUUUAGCGGUGUGGGAUGAGCCCGCGGCCUAUCAGCUUGUUGGUGGGGUGACGGCCUACCAAGGCGACGACGGGUAGCCGGCCUGAGAGGGUGUCCGGCCACACUGGGACUGAGAUACGGCCCAGACUCCUACGGGAGGCAGCAGUGGGGAAUAUUGCACAAUGGGCGCAAGCCUGAUGCAGCGACGCCGCGUGGGGGAUGACGGCCUUCGGGUUGUAAACCUCUUUCACCAUCGACGAAGGUCCGGGUUCUCUCGGAUUGACGGUAGGUGGAGAAGAAGCACCGGCCAACUACGUGCCAGCAGCCGCGGUAAUACGUAGGGUGCGAGCGUUGUCCGGAAUUACUGGGCGUAAAGAGCUCGUAGGUGGUUUGUCGCGUUGUUCGUGAAAUCUCACGGCUUAACUGUGAGCGUGCGGGCGAUACGGGCAGACUAGAGUACUGCAGGGGAGACUGGAAUUCCUGGUGUAGCGGUGGAAUGCGCAGAUAUCAGGAGGAACACCGGUGGCGAAGGCGGGUCUCUGGGCAGUAACUGACGCUGAGGAGCGAAAGCGUGGGGAGCGAACAGGAUUAGAUACCCUGGUAGUCCACGCCGUAAACGGUGGGUACUAGGUGUGGGUUUCCUUCCUUGGGAUCCGU